RNAcentral lists this ribosomal RNA (879 nucleotides) under human gut metagenome. RNAcentral's name for it is "bacterial SSU rRNA". It matches the Rfam family "Bacterial small subunit ribosomal RNA", at positions 8 to 890 of the family's 1533-position model. The record is from RNAcentral.
AGAGUUUGAUCCUGGCUCAGGACGAACGCUGGCGGCGUGCCUAACACAUGCAAGUCGAGCGAGGAAGAGGAGAUAGCUUGCUAACUCCUGUUUCUAGCGGCGGACGGGUGAGUAACGCGUGAGCAACCUGCCUUUAUCAGGGGGAUAACGCAUCGAAAGAUGUGCUAAUACCGCGUAAGACCACAGCCUCACAUGGGGCAGGGGUCAAAGGAGCAAUCCGGAUAAAGAUGGGCUCGCGUCCGAUUAGCUAGUUGGUGAGAUAACAGCCCACCAAGGCGACGAUCGGUAGCCGACCUGAGAGGGUGAUCGGCCACAUUGGAACUGAGAGACGGUCCAGACUCCUACGGGAGGCAGCAGUGGGGAAUAUUGGGCAAUGGGCGAAAGCCUGACCCAGCAACGCCGCGUGAGGGAAGAAGGGUUUCGGCUCGUAAACCUCUGUCCUAUGGGACGAAGGAAGUGACGGUACCAUAGGAGGAAGCCCCGGCUAACUACGUGCCAGCAGCCGCGGUAAUACGUAGGGGGCGAGCGUUGUCCGGAAUGAUUGGGCGUAAAGGGCGCGUAGGCGGCCUGCUAAGUCUGAAGUGAAAGUCCUGCUUUCAAGGUGGGAAGUGCUUUGGAUACUGGUGGGCUGGAGUGCAGGAGAGGAAAGCGGAAUUACCGGUGUAGCGGUGAAAUGCGUAGAGAUCGGUAGGAACACCAGUGGCGAAGGCGGCUUUCUGGACUGAAACUGACGCUGAGGCGCGAAAGCGUGGGGAGCAAACAGGAUUAGAUACCCUGGUAGUCCACGCGGUAAACGAUGAAUGCUAGGUGUAGGAGGUAUCGACCCCUUCUGUGCCGCAGUAAACACAAUAAGCAUUCCGCCUGGGGAGUACGGCCGCA